UACAUUAAAGACAUUCACCUUAAAUAGAAGUGUAAGAAUCUUCUAUUUCAUAACAGUUUCUUCAUUUUUGAGCUUAUCAGAAAAGUGUCCAAAGAUAUACUUACAAUAAUGUCUCCAAAUUCUUUCUCUUUUAAUUGAAUUAUUUCACGUUUAAUUAUAUCUUUGUGCAAUUAUGCUUUAAUUCGUUGUAGUUUCCAUUUUAAUUCUUGUAACUCGUACUUGAAUCUUAUAACAUCUCCUUUAUUUUAUAACUCCCACUUAAUUAUCCUUCUUGUAACAGCUCCAACAACUUACCUAUAUAAGGAGUUGUUUUGUGAAGUUUUUAAAUACAAAAAAAAAAAACCUUCUUCAUCUUUUCUUCUUAAGUCAGUUUCUAGGCCGUUAUUUUGUGCAAACUUCAAUGUUUCAGUCACAAGUAGACGUGUUUGGAGGUACCGUAGAUUUUUGGGGAGCGAUCCGUCUUAACAAUUUGCAUCUUAGUCGGGCUGAAUCACUUUUAAUAUAAUGGCUUGCCACGACACAAUAUUUGUUUGAUAAGUUAUUCUGUUUCUUUCGUGUUAGGUCAUAUUAUCAACUAUUUUUUCAAUAAUUCUACAAUUGAGAACUCAAGAAUGGAACUAUGGAGUUCGUGGUUCUACAAUAUGUUAAGAAUCUAGUGAUAGAAUCAUAGAGUUUGUAGUUCAUUAAUUCGGAACUUAAGGAUGAAGUUAUGAAGUUUAUGAUUUUAAAAAUUAAUAACUCAAGGAUAGAAGAUAGAGAAAAAAAUAUAUUACUAUCAAUAAUUGGAUUGACUUCUUUAAAAAGUAGUGGUCCAAUAUUAACUGAACAAAAUAUAUUCUCACAUAAUUUACAACAUUAUUAUUAUCAUUUGCAGGCCAAAUAUUGUUGUAAUGGGUAAAGGUUUUACUUGAUACCAUCUAACUACAAUCUAGUAUUAUAAUUUGAAAUUAGUUUUACUCUUAACAAAAUCAAUUUUUGAGGACCAAAUUGAAUCGGAAAGUGAAUAUUGUACAAAAAGCUGGACACAUUUCAUAAAUGACAUUUUUUCCAGAUAUCGGAAUAUUUAAAUUAAUGUAAACUCAACAUAUGAUGUAAAAGGGUAGAAUAGUCCUCUCCAGCUUAUUAUAAAGGAGAAGUGGCCAUUCUUAUAAUGCAUUGCUAAAAACUCACAGCAGCUCUAAAAAGUGGUCAUUCCACCCAUUUUUUCAUAAAAACGUCGACUAAUUUGGACCUUCUGAAAAUUAGGCCUCUUUGAAUUUUUUGUAUUGUUUUGGGUUAUAUUUAAUAAACUCAUAUUGUUUAUGCAAAUACGGUUAAACUCAUAUUCUUUUGAUUAACUCUUAGGGAUUAUCCUGUUAGGAUUAUAAUAUCCAACUAAAACAUAAUAGCCUUCAUAUCGAAUUAUUUGAAAUAACAACAUAAGCGGAAGCGUACCUGAAUCCAUAAGUGAAAUCCUUAGUCCUUCUUGAUGAUUGUCCAAAUGUUUGGCUUUGAAAGCUCCUUGAUCCUU
This 1510-nucleotide long non-coding RNA is filed under the name Nicotiana benthamiana. RNAcentral's name for it is "long non-coding RNA (NBEN_LNC002727)". Lineage: Eukaryota; Viridiplantae; Streptophyta; Magnoliopsida; Solanales; Solanaceae. The record is from RNAcentral.